This 550-nucleotide ribosomal RNA is filed under the name Lepidophyma sylvaticum. RNAcentral describes it as "partial 16S ribosomal RNA". It matches the Rfam family "Bacterial large subunit ribosomal RNA", at positions 1812 to 2627 of the family's 2925-position model. The record is from RNAcentral. Lineage: Eukaryota; Metazoa; Chordata; Lepidosauria; Squamata; Xantusiidae.
AACAUAGCCUUUAGCAAUACAAGUAUUAUGGGUGUAGCCUGCCCAGUGAAAAACUUUUAAACGGCCGCGGUAUCCUAACCGUGCAAAGGUAGCGCAAUCACUUGUCCCCUAAAUAGGGACCAGUAUGAACGGCUCAAUGAGGAUUUACCUGUCUCCUGCACCCAAUCAAUGAAACUGAUCUCCUGGUACAAAAGCCAGGAUGAUCCCAUAAGACGAGAAGACCCUGUGGAGCUUUAAACUAGUAAUUAUCCACACUAAUUAUUCAUUUUAAGUUGGGGCAACUUUGGAAAUAAAAUAACUUCCAAGAUAGCAGGCACUCGGCCCGAACUGAGGUUAACACACCAAAGCAAGCUCAUGACCCAGUAACACUGACCAACGAACCAAGUUACCCCAGGGAUAACAGCGCUAUCUUCCUCUAGAGUUCAUAUCGACAGGAAGGAUUACGACCUCGAUGUUGGAUCAGGACAUCCAAGUGGUGCAGCCGCCACUAAAGGUUCGUUUGUUCAACGAUUAAAGUCCUACGUGAUCUGAGUUCAGACCGGAGUAAUCC